UGGGGCUUGGCUAGAGGCUGUUCCUUC
RNAcentral lists this non-coding RNA (27 nucleotides) under Rattus norvegicus (Norway rat). Lineage: Eukaryota; Metazoa; Chordata; Mammalia; Rodentia; Muridae. The record is from RNAcentral.